GACGGAGACCCCUAGCGUUGUUCGGAAUUACUGGGCUUAAAGGGCGUGUAGGCGGAACGGUAAGUACCUUGUGAAAGCCCCGGGCUCAACCCGGGAAUUGCUUGGUAUACUGUCGUUCUUGAGGCAGGUAGGGGUUACUGGAACCUUAGGUGGAGCGGUGAAAUGCGUAGAUAUCUAAGGGAACGCCUGUGGCGAAAGCGGGUGACUGGACCUGUACUGACGCUGAGACGCGAAAGCGUAGGGAGCGAACGGGAUUAGAUACCCCAGUA
RNAcentral lists this ribosomal RNA (269 nucleotides) under uncultured prokaryote. RNAcentral describes it as "partial 16S ribosomal RNA". It matches the Rfam family "Bacterial small subunit ribosomal RNA", at positions 524 to 792 of the family's 1533-position model. The record is from RNAcentral.